UGCAGUCGAACGAUGAAGCCCAGCUUGCUGGGUGGAUUAGUGGCGAACGGGUGAGUAACACGUGAGUAACCUGCCCCCGACUCUGGGAUAAGCGCUGGAAACGGCGUCUAAUACCGGAUAUGACCUGUCCUCGCAUGAGGGUGGGUGGAAAGUUCUUCGGUUGGGGAUGGACUCGCGGCCUAUCAGCUUGUUGGUGAGGUAAUGGCUCACCAAGGCGACGACGGGUAGCCGGCCUGAGAGGGUGACCGGCCACACUGGGACUGAGACACGGCCCAGACUCCUACGGGAGGCAGCAGUGGGGAAUAUUGCACAAUGGGCGAAAGCCUGAUGCAGCAACGCCGCGUGAGGGAUGACGGCCUUCGGGUUGUAAACCUCUUUUAGUAGGGAAGAAGGGCUUCGGCUUGACGGUACCUGCAGAAAAAGCACCGGCUAACUAUGUGCCAGCAGCCGCGGUAAUACGUAGGGUGCGAGCGUUGUCCGGAAUUAUUGGGCGUAAAGAGCUCGUAGGCGGUUUGUCGCGUCUGCUGUGAAAACCCGAGGCUCAACCUCGGGCCUGCAGUGGGUACGGGCAGACUUGAGUGCGGUAGGGGAGAAUGGAAUUCCUGGUGUAGCGGUGGAAUGCGCAGAUAUCAGGAGGAACACCGAUGGCGAAGGCAGUUCUCUGGGCCGUAACUGACGCUGAGGAGCGAAAGCGUGGGGAGCGAACAGGAUUAGAUACCCUGGUAGUCCACGCCGUAAACGUUGGGCGCUAGAUGUGGGGACCUUUCCACGGUUUCCGUGUCGUAGCUAACGCAUUAAGCGCCCCGCCUGGGGAGUACGNCCGCANGGCUAAAACUCAAA
Molecule: ribosomal RNA, 840 nt
Filed under: uncultured bacterium
Lineage: Bacteria
Description: bacterial SSU rRNA
Rfam family: Bacterial small subunit ribosomal RNA
Source: RNAcentral